GAUGAACGCUGGCGGCGUGCCUAAUACAUGCAAGUCGAGCGAACAGACGAGAGUGCUUGCACUCUCUGACGUUAGCGGCGGACGGGUGAGUAACACGUGGGUAACCUACCUAUAAGACUGGGAUAACUUCGGGAAACCGGAGCUAAUACCGGAUAAUAUUUAGCUUCGCAUGACGCAAUAGUGAAAGACGGUUCUGCUGUCACUUAUAGAUGGACCCGCGGUGUAUUAGCUAGUUGGUGAGGUAACGGCUCACCAAGGCAACGAUACAUAGCCGACCUGAGAGGGUGAUCGGCCACACUGGGACUGAGACACGGCCCAGACUCCUACGGGAGGCAGCAGUAGGGAAUCUUCCGCAAUGGACGAAAGUCUGACGGAGCAAUGCCGCGUGAGUGAAGAAGGUUUUCGGAUCGUAAAACUCUGUUGUAAGGGAAGAACAAGUACGUUAGUAACUGAACGUACCUUGACGGUACCUUACCAGAAAGCCACGGCUAACUACGUG
Molecule: ribosomal RNA, 499 nt
Filed under: uncultured bacterium
Lineage: Bacteria
Description: partial 16S ribosomal RNA
Rfam family: Bacterial small subunit ribosomal RNA
Source: RNAcentral